GCUAUUUCAUAGGCUUGGGGUGCUGUUUAAGGGAGGUCAUGCAGGUAAAUUUUUAAUUCAGUGUGGCAGACUGUGAACAAUGUUUUUUCCUCUUUUGAGCCAAUGAUAUAUUUGACUCCACUUCCUAGUUUUUCUUCUAUAAAAACAUUCAGGAGCCCAAGUUCUCUGCUGUUCAGGGAAGCUUUAAGUCAGACCUCCACUGGGUAGAGGGGAAAGCAGGAGACUGCAAUGCAGAAAUCCUUUUAACUUUCAGGACCCAACUAAGAAAUGAGUAGCUUCCCUCAGCACCAGUAACACUAACCUCUCCCAUCACAGGAGCAGCACCAACUGACCUGGAAUGAAGAAGCUCCCCCUGGUGGCUUCUGCUGGGUGGUCCCUGCCUUAGAAGACCUGAAAAUGGAAGAGAGCAGCCAGCUUCUGGGGACAACUGGAAAGAGCUUGAUGUCUUUGACUAUUUCUUAUGAGAGUUCUAUUUAUUUAUGGUUAUAUUUAUUUAUUUUUCAAAGCUUCUAUUUUAAUAUUUAUGUUAGUUUUUUAAGAUGUGAAUGUGUUCCAUGAAACAUGACUAAGUCUUGAUUGUUAUUUAACUUAAAGAUGAUGGGUUUAAACUGUCUCAUUAAAUUGAUAUUUAUUAGGAGAGAAGUGCCAGCCACUUGAUAAAAGAGGGUGUGUGGGGAUCCAACCGAUUGCACAGUGUGAUCAAUAUUAGAGUGAGGGAAUGUGUGCACAUCUAUUUUUGUACUUUUUAAAAAGAAUGUUGGGUGUUAUUUAUUGAAAGUCUCACACAUUAUGUAGUCAACAUUCAUAUGUUGAAGUUUCCCUUGGACAUUUUAUGUCUUGCUUGUAGGGCAUAAUGCCUUGUUUGAUAUUUAUUAUGAAUUGUUUCUCUCCGUCUUAGAACAGAGAAGUUAUAACUACUGUCAUAUUUUUACAAAUGAAAAUAAAAAUUUUACUGAAA
Molecule: long non-coding RNA, 958 nt
Filed under: Marmota monax (woodchuck)
Lineage: Eukaryota; Metazoa; Chordata; Mammalia; Rodentia; Sciuridae
Source: RNAcentral